This 514-nucleotide ribosomal RNA is filed under the name uncultured Parvibaculum sp. RNAcentral's name for it is "bacterial SSU rRNA". It matches the Rfam family "Bacterial small subunit ribosomal RNA", at positions 897 to 1407 of the family's 1533-position model. Lineage: Bacteria; Pseudomonadati; Pseudomonadota; Alphaproteobacteria; Hyphomicrobiales; Parvibaculaceae. The record is from RNAcentral.
AAACUCAAAGGAAUUGACGGGGGCCCGCACAAGCGGUGGAGCAUGUGGUUUAAUUCGACGCAACGCGCAGAACCUUACCAACCCUUGACAUGUCCAGUAUGGUUUCCAGAGAUGGAUUCCUUCAGUUCGGCUGGCUGGAACACAGGUGUUGCAUGGCUGUCGUCAGCUCGUGUCGUGAGAUGUUGGGUUAAGUCCCGCAACGAGCGCAACCCUCGCCUUUAGUUGCCAUCAUUUAGUUGGGCACUCUAGAGGGACUGCCGGUGAUAAGCCGGAGGAAGGUGGGGAUGACGUCAAGUCCUCAUGGCCCUUACGGGUUGGGCUACACACGUGCUACAAUGGCGGCGACAAUGGGCAGCGAAGGGGCGACCCGGUGCAAAUCCCAAAAGACCGUCUCAGUUCGGAUUGUACUCUGCAACUCGAGUGCAUGAAGGUGGAAUCGCUAGUAAUCGCGUAACAGCAUGACGCGGUGAAUACGUUCCCGGGCCUUCGUACUACACCGCCCGUCCGACACCAC